AGAGUUUGAUCCUUGCUCAGGACGAACGCUGGCGGCGUGCUUAACACAUGCAAGUCGAACGAUGAUGCCCAGCUUGCUGGGUGGAUUAGUGGCGAACGGGUGAGUAACACGUGAGUAACCUGCCCCUGACUCUGGGAUAAGCGUUGGAAACGACGUCUAAUACUGGAUAUGAUCACUGGCCGCAUGGUCUGGUGGUGGAAAGAUUUUUUGGUUGGGGAUGGACUCGCGGCCUAUCAGCUUGUUGGUGAGGUAAUGGCUCACCAAGGCGACGACGGGUAGCCGGCCUGAGAGGGUGACCGGCCACACUGGGACUGAGACACGGCCCAGACUCCUACGGGAGGCAGCAGUGGGGAAUAUUGCACAAUGGGCGAAAGCCUGAUGCAGCAACGCCGCGUGAGGGAUGACGGCCUUCGGGUUGUAAACCUCUUUUAGUAGGGAAGAAGCGAAAGUGACGGUACCUGCAGAAAAAGCACCGGCUAACUACGUGCCAGCAGCUGCGGUAAUACGUAGGGUGCAAGCGUUGUCCGGAAUUAUUGGGCGUAAAGAGCUCGUAGGCGGUUUGUCGCGUCUGCUGUGAAAUCCCGAGGCUCAACCUCGGGCUUGCAGUGGGUACGGGCAGACUAGAGUGCGGUAGGGGAGAUUGGAAUUCCUGGUGUAGCGGUGGAAUGCGCAGAUAUCAGGAGGAACACCGAUGGCGAAGGCAGAUCUCUGGGCCGUAACUGACGCUGAGGAGCGAAAGCAUGGGGAGCGAACAGGAUUAGAUACCCUGGUAGUCCAUGCCGUAAACGUUGGGCGCUAGAUGUAGGGACCUUUCCACGGUUUCUGUGUCGUAGCUAACGCAUUAAGCGCCCCGCCUGGGGAGUACGGCCGCAAGGCUAAAACUCAAAGGAAUUGACGGGGGCCCGCACAAGCGGCGGAGCAUGCGGAUUAAUUCGAUGCAACGCGAAGAACCUUACCAAGGCUUGACAUACACCGGAAACGGCCAGAGAUGGUCGCCCCCUUGUGGUCGGUGUACAGGUGGUGCAUGGUUGUCGUCAGCUCGUGUCGUGAGAUGUUGGGUUAAGUCCCGCAACGAGCGCAACCCUCGUUCUAUGUUGCCAGCGGGUUAUGCCGGGGACUCAUAGGAGACUGCCGGGGUCAACUCGGAGGAAGGUGGGGAUGACGUCAAAUCAUCAUGCCCCUUAUGUCUUGGGCUUCACGCAUGCUACAAUGGCCGGUACAAAGGGCUGCGAUACCGUAAGGUGGAGCGAAUCCCAAAAAGCCGGUCUCAGUUCGGAUUGAGGUCUGCAACUCGACCUCAUGAAGUCGGAGUCGCUAGUAAUCGCAGAUCAGCAACGCUGCGGUGAAUACGUUCCCGGGCCUUGUACACACCGCCCGUCAAGUCAUGAAAGUCGGUAACACCCGAAGCCGGUGGCCUAACCCUUGUGGAAGGAGCCGUCGAAGGUGGGAUCGGUGAUUAGGACUAAGUCGUAACAAGGUAGCCGUACCGGAAGGUGCGGCUGGAUCACCUCCUUAAGCUUGGAUCCCGGG
This 1530-nucleotide ribosomal RNA is filed under the name Curtobacterium sp. S20. RNAcentral's name for it is "bacterial SSU rRNA". It matches the Rfam family "Bacterial small subunit ribosomal RNA". The record is from RNAcentral. Lineage: Bacteria; Bacillati; Actinomycetota; Actinomycetes; Micrococcales; Microbacteriaceae.